CAGAUUUUCAGUCCUCCGUGGCUGAACCACCACUUAGCUUUUUAGGAAGGAGAGACACAAGGCUCAGCCAGAGGAAUUUGGAUCAUCUCACUACAAUCGUGUGUGAAGGCAGAGGGCACAGACAAAAGAGAAGAGAUGGGGCCGUCAAGGCAGGACCAGGGGAUCCAGAUGGCACAUCUUGUGGCAUGAUGCUCAUUCACGUCCAGCAGUGC
Molecule: long non-coding RNA, 212 nt
Filed under: Homo sapiens (human)
Lineage: Eukaryota; Metazoa; Chordata; Mammalia; Primates; Hominidae
Source: RNAcentral